Molecule: long non-coding RNA, 498 nt
Organism: Stomoxys calcitrans (stable fly)
Lineage: Eukaryota; Metazoa; Arthropoda; Insecta; Diptera; Muscidae
Exons: 2
Source: RefSeq, a predicted model, not a curated record
UACACUUGCUUUGAUUUGAAAGUAGAAAAUCACAUACAUUUAUUUUUGUUUGUUCUGUCAGACAACAAGAUAACAAUAAUCUUAUAAUUAUAGUAUGCGAGAUAUCAAUGAAAUUUAACAUAGUUCCACAAAGUUUGAUAUAUAAAAUGUAAAAUAAUUAACGUGAUUUUUCAAUAUAGUCGGAAUGGAUACAGUGGUUCUGCCGGCACAGGAUAACGAAAACCAAACUCAAGCUCAUAUCAACCUAUCGUUCUAAAAUUAUGCACUAUGCUUCUUCUUUGUCCAUCACCAUUUCUCCUAAAUUUGCUCGAAAUCGGAUCGGCUCAGUUUUGAAUAAUAUGUGUGGUACCACCACAGAUUUUAAUAAUAGGAGUGGUACCACCUCAUAUUUUCACAAAUUGCCCCUGUUAGUGGAAUGUUCAUGGGCAAAAUUUGCAUUUGGAUGUUAGAAGUAAAGUCACAUUCAUUAGCUCAAAAUAAAUAUUACAUUUUUGAUGA